This 253-nucleotide ribosomal RNA is filed under the name uncultured prokaryote. Its description in RNAcentral is "partial 16S ribosomal RNA". It matches the Rfam family "Bacterial small subunit ribosomal RNA", at positions 524 to 776 of the family's 1533-position model. The record is from RNAcentral.
UACGAAGGUCCCGAGCGUUGUUCGGAAUCACUGGGCGUAAAGGGAGCGUAGGCGGCGUGGUAAGUCAGAUGUGAAAUCCCGGGGCUCAACCCCGGAACUGCAUCCGAUACUGCCGUGCUAGAGGAUUGGAGAGGUAGCUGGAAUUCUUGGUGUAGCAGUGAAAUGCGUAGAUAUCGAGAGGAACACCAGUGGCGAAGGCGAGUCCCUGGACAACUCCUGACGCUGAGGCACGAAAGCUAGGGGAGCAAACAGG